AGUGUACUUCCUUGGGCUUCUGGGCAUAUAAUUCCUGUGGCCUCUGGGUGUGUACCCU
This 58-nucleotide microRNA precursor is filed under the name Myotis davidii. RNAcentral describes it as "mir-7180 microRNA precursor family". It matches the Rfam family "mir-7180 microRNA precursor family". Lineage: Eukaryota; Metazoa; Chordata; Mammalia; Chiroptera; Vespertilionidae. The record is from Rfam by way of RNAcentral.